This 1444-nucleotide ribosomal RNA is filed under the name fungal sp. F176. Its description in RNAcentral is "eukaryotic LSU rRNA". The stretch from base 856 to 1444 matches the Rfam family "Eukaryotic large subunit ribosomal RNA", at positions 1 to 589 of the family's 3401-position model. The record is from RNAcentral. Lineage: Eukaryota; Fungi.
GACCGAGACAUACUCUUUGUGUUUAUACGCGGUGUGUCAAACAACAUAACUCGCGGGUGCGGAAGAGUAUCCUCUGCCUAAGAGGUGGGUUAUAUUGGGAUUUUAAAUAACACACGGGGUGAGAGAUAAGAGUUUUGUUUUUAUCUCCCGGAGUUCAAGAAAAAAACCGAAAUUUGUUACAAGAGAUGGCCCUUAAUGUUUGUGUGGGGAAUAUAAAGAGGAAGUUGGGGUUUUCGGUCUCUCUACCAAGAGGGUUUCCAGAGAAAUUUUUUUUGUGAUAUUAGAAAGUUUCUUUAGAUUUAAAUUUUAAAGAGACUUUAAAGGAUUUUUAAUUGUUUACUUGAAAUUGGAAAAAUAAAAAAUCAAAACUUUAACAUGGAUUUCCUGGGUUUGGCAUGGAUAAGAAGCCAGCAAAUUGGGUAAAGUAAUGGAAAUGCCGAAUCAGGGAAUCAUCGAAUUUUUGAACGCACAUUGCACCUUUUGGAAUCCGAAAGGUAUAUUGUUCGAGCGUCAUUUACAAUUCUCCAGGCUUUGCUUGGUCUUGAUAAUUGUUGGAUUUUAGACAUUAUUGAAAUAGAUUGUUUUGAUCAAAUCUAAAUUCAAACGUAACAAUUUUUUCGUUUAGUUUUUAAGUUUGAAUCAUGAUCAAAAAUAGUUUGGGUCUAAUGUUUAAACCAAAGUUCAAUUAAUUUGUACCCAAGUCAGCGAAGGGUAGGCCACCAGCUUACUUAGUAGUUGUACCUACAGUCAUCGAAAGGUUAGGUUACUAGCUUAACUUGGUAGGUUGUACCUAGGUCAAAUUAAAUCGUACCCAAAGUCUAGUUAGAAGGUACCCAAAUAACCCACUUAAAUUUUUGACCUCGAAUCAAAUAAGAAUACCCGCUGAACUUAAGCAUAUCAAUAAGCGGAGGAAAAGAAACCAACAGGGAUUACCUCAGUAACGGCGAGUGAAGCGGUAAAAGCUCAAAUUUGAAAUCUCCUUCUUUGAAAAAAGUUGGCGAGUUGUAAUUUGUAGAGGAUGUUUUUGGUGAAAUUUCGAUCCAAAUUCCUUGGAAUAGGAUAUCAAAGAGGGUGAGAAUCCCGUAUUUGAUCAGAAAUUGAUCCUACAUAAAACUCCUUCGAAGAGUCGAGUUGUUUGGGAAUGCAGCUCUAAUUGGGAGGUAUAUUUCUUCUAAAGCUAAAUACAAGCCAGAAACCGAUAGCGCACAAGUAGAGUGAUCGAAAGAUGAAAAGCACUUUGAAAAGAGAGUCAAAAAGUACGUGAAAUUGUUGAAAGGGAAUCAUUUAUUAUCAGACAUGAAAUUGUUGUUCAAUUUUGUCUUUGACAAGAUGAAUUCAUCAAUCUUCAGGCCAUCAUCAUUUUUUUAAUGGUUGAAAAAAUCUUUUGAAAAGUAGCUCAACUUGUUGAGAGUAUAAUCAAAAGAAAAAUCAAAUCUUUUAAAAA